RNAcentral lists this ribosomal RNA (497 nucleotides) under uncultured bacterium. RNAcentral's name for it is "partial 16S ribosomal RNA". It matches the Rfam family "Bacterial small subunit ribosomal RNA", at positions 28 to 507 of the family's 1533-position model. The record is from RNAcentral.
GAUGAACGCUGGCGGCGUGCCUAAUACAUGCAAGUCGAGCGAACGGACGAGAAGCUUGCUUCUCUGAUGUUAGCGGCGGACGGGUGAGUAACACGUGGAUAACCUACCUAUAAGACUGGGAUAACUUCGGGAAACCGGAGCUAAUACCGGAUAAUAUUUUGAACCGCAUGGUUCAAAAGUGAAAGACUGUCUUGCUGUCACUUAUAGAUGGAUCCGCGCUGCAUUAGCUAGUUGGUAAGGUAACGGCUUACCAAGGCAACGAUGCAUAGCCGACCUGAGAGGGUGAUCGGCCACACUGGAACUGAGACACGGUCCAGACUCCUACGGGAGGCAGCAGUAGGGAAUCUUCCGCAAUGGGCGAAAGCCUGACGGAGCAACGCCGCGUGAGUGAUGAAGGUCUUCGGAUCGUAAAACUCUGUUAUUAGGGAAGAACAUAUGUGUAAGUAACUGUGCACAUCUUGACGGUACCUAAUCAGAAAGCCACGGCUAACUACGUG